This 600-nucleotide ribosomal RNA is filed under the name uncultured archaeon. Its description in RNAcentral is "bacterial SSU rRNA". It matches the Rfam family "Archaeal small subunit ribosomal RNA", at positions 83 to 681 of the family's 1478-position model. The record is from RNAcentral.
GCACUGCUCAGUAACACGUGGACAACCUGCCCUGAGGACUGGAAUAAUCCCGGGAAACUGGGGGUAAUUCCAGAUAUGUCAGAACUCCUGGAAUGGGUUCUGGCAGAAAGGCUCCGGCGCCUCAGGAUGGGUCUGCGGCCUAUCAGGGUAGUAGUGGGUGUAACGUACCUACUAGCCUACGACGGGUACGGGUUGUGAGAGCAAGAGCCCGGAGAUGGAUUCUGAGACAUGAAUCCAGGCCCUACGGGGUGCAGCAGGCGCGAAAACUUUACAAUGCGGGCAACCGCGAUAAGGGGACCUCGAGUGCUGGGUUACAAACCUGGCUGUUGGGCUGCCUAAAAAGCAGUCUAUAGCAAGGGCCGGGCAAGACCGGUGCCAGCCGCCGCGGUAACACCGGCGGCUCGAGUGGUAACCGCUAUUAUUGGGUCUAAAGGGUCUGUAGCCGGCCGACUAAGUCUCUUGGGAAAUCUGGCAUCUCAAGUGUCAGGCUGCCAGGGGAUACUGGUCGGCUUGGGACCGGGAGAGGUGAGAGGUACCUCGGGGGUAGGGGUGAAAUCUUGUAAUCCUCGAGGGACCACCAGUGGCGAAAGGCGUCUCACC